This 290-nucleotide ribosomal RNA is filed under the name uncultured bacterium. RNAcentral describes it as "partial 16S ribosomal RNA". It matches the Rfam family "Bacterial small subunit ribosomal RNA", at positions 773 to 1060 of the family's 1533-position model. The record is from RNAcentral.
GUGGAUUAGAUACCCUGGUAGUCCUAGCAGUAAACGAUGUAGACUUGGUGUCGGAGGUGUCAAAACCUUCGGUAUCGUAGCUAACGCGAUAAGUCUACCGCCUGGGGACUACGGCCGCAAGGUUAAAACUCAAAGGAAUUGACGGGGGCCCGCACAAGCAGCGGAGCGUGUGGUUUAAUUCGAUGCUACACGAAGAACCUUACCCAGGUUUGACAUGUUGGUGGUAGGAAUCCGAAAGGUGACCGACCCGCAAGGGAGCCUUCACAGGUGCUGCACGGCCGUCGCCAGCU